AAAGUACUCCCUCCGUCCCAAAAUUUCUUGUCUCAGAUUUGUCUAGAUACGGAUGUAUGAAGUCACAUUUUAAUAUUAGAUACAUCCAUAUCUAGACAAAUCUAAGAUAAGAAUUUUGGGACAAAGGGAGUAGUUG
This is a non-coding RNA of Triticum aestivum (bread wheat), 136 nucleotides long. NCBI's taxonomy places the organism in Eukaryota, Viridiplantae, Streptophyta, Magnoliopsida, Poales, Poaceae. The record is from Rfam.